UCAAACUUGGUCAUUUAGAGGAAGUAAAAGUCGUAACAAGGUUUCCGUAGGUGAACCUGCGGAAGGAUCAUUAUCGGGAGUGCCUUCGUGGCUCAACCUUCAACCCAAUGUUGUUACCACUUAACUGCCCUUUGGCGGGUCACCCGCCAAAAGCAAUCUCAAACUCGUCACAAACGUGUCAUAAUCUUAAAAUAAAAUCAAUAAAUCAAAACUUUCAACAACGGAUCUCUUGGUUCUGGCAUCGAUGAAGAACGCAGC
RNAcentral lists this unclassified non-coding RNA (258 nucleotides) under uncultured fungus. RNAcentral describes it as "partial contains small subunit ribosomal RNA, internal transcribed spacer 1, and 5.8S ribosomal RNA". The stretch from base 1 to 73 matches the Rfam family "Eukaryotic small subunit ribosomal RNA", at positions 1759 to 1831 of the family's 1831-position model. Lineage: Eukaryota; Fungi. The record is from RNAcentral.